RNAcentral lists this ribosomal RNA (1001 nucleotides) under uncultured Cellulomonas sp. Its description in RNAcentral is "bacterial SSU rRNA". It matches the Rfam family "Bacterial small subunit ribosomal RNA", at positions 1 to 1007 of the family's 1533-position model. Lineage: Bacteria; Bacillati; Actinomycetota; Actinomycetes; Micrococcales; Cellulomonadaceae. The record is from RNAcentral.
AUGCAUCUAGAUUAGAGUUUGAUCCUGGCUCAGGACGAACGCUGGCGGCGUGCUUAACACAUGCAAGUCGAACGGUGACCCUGGAGCUUGCUCCGGGCGAUCAGUGGCGAACGGGUGAGUAACACGUGAGUAACCUGCCCCAGACUCUGGGAUAACCUCGGGAAACCGGGGCUAAUACCGGAUACGAGACGCUCCGGCAUCGGAUGCGUCUGGAAAGAUUUAUCGGUCUGGGAUGGACUCGCGGCCUAUCAGCUUGUUGGUGAGGUAACGGCCCACCAAGGCGACGACGGGUAGCCGGCCUGAGAGGGCGACCGGCCACACUGGAACUGAGACACGGUCCAGACUCCUACGGGAGGCAGCAGUGGGGAAUAUUGCACAAUGGGCGCAAGCCUGAUGCAGCGACGCCGCGUGGGGGAUGAAGGCCUUCGGGUUGUAAACCCCUUUCAGCAGGGAAGAAGCGAAAGUGACGGUACCUGCAGAAGAAGCGCCGGCUAACUACGUGCCAGCAGCCGUGGUAAUACGUAGGGCGCAAGCGUUGUCCGGAAUUAUUGGGCGUAAAGAGCUCGUAGGCGGUUUGUCGCGUCUGCUGUGAAAACCCGAGGCUCAACCUCGGGCCUGCAGUGGGUACGCGCAGACUAGAGUGUGGUAGGGGAGACUGGAAUUCCUGGUGUAGCGGUGGAAUGCGCAGAUAUCAGGAGGAACACCAAUGGCGAAGGCAGGUCUCUGGGCCACAACUGACGCUGAGGAGCGAAAGCGUGGGGAGCGAACGGGAUUAGAUACCCUGGUAGUCCACGCCGUAAACGGUGGGCACUAGACGUGGGGCUCUUUCCAUGAGUUCCGCGUCGCAGCUAACGCAUUAAGUGCCCCGCCUGGGGAGUACGGCCGCAAGGCUAAAACUCAAAGGAAUUGACGGGGGCCCGCACAAGCGGCGGAGCAUGCGGAUUAAUUCGAUGCACGCGAGAACCUUACCAAGGCUUGACAUAUACCGUUAUCCUAGAGAU